UACGUAGGGGGCAAGCGUUAUCCAGAUUUACUGGCGUAAAGCGUGCGCAGGCGGUUCGUUAUGUCCGAUGUGAAAGCCCCGAGCUUAACUUGGGAAUGGCAUUGGAAACUGGCGGGCUGGAGUGCGGCAGAGGGGGGGUGGAAUUCCACGUGUAGCAGUGGAAAUGCGUAGAGAUGUGGAGGAACACCGAUGGCGAAGGCAGCCCCCUGGGCCGACACGUGACGCUCAGGCACGAAAGCGUGGGGAGCAA
This 250-nucleotide ribosomal RNA is filed under the name uncultured bacterium. RNAcentral's name for it is "partial 16S ribosomal RNA". It matches the Rfam family "Bacterial small subunit ribosomal RNA", at positions 524 to 771 of the family's 1533-position model. The record is from RNAcentral.